This 252-nucleotide ribosomal RNA is filed under the name uncultured bacterium. RNAcentral describes it as "partial 16S ribosomal RNA". It matches the Rfam family "Bacterial small subunit ribosomal RNA", at positions 524 to 774 of the family's 1533-position model. The record is from RNAcentral.
UACGUAGGGGGCUAGCGUUGUCCGGAAUCAUUGGGCGUAAAGCGCGUGUAGGCGGUCCGGUAAGUCCGCUGUGAAAGUCGGGGGCUCAACCCUCGGAUGCCGGUGGAUACUGUCGGGCUUGAGUACGGAAGAGGCGAGUGGAAUUCCUGGUGUAGCGGUGAAAUGCGCAGAUAUCAGGAGGAACACCAAUAGCGAAGGCAGCUCGCUGGGACGGUAUUGACGCUAAGGCGCGAAAGCGUGGGGGAGCAAACA